RNAcentral lists this ribosomal RNA (374 nucleotides) under uncultured eukaryote. RNAcentral's name for it is "partial 18S ribosomal RNA". It matches the Rfam family "Eukaryotic small subunit ribosomal RNA", at positions 592 to 976 of the family's 1831-position model. The record is from RNAcentral.
UAAUAGUGUAUAUUAAAGUUGUUGCAGUUAAAAAGCUCGUAGUUGAAUGUUGGUGUCGAACGAGCGGUCAGCUUCGGCUGUACUGCUCUCUCGACUCCUUCCUUCUGUGGACUACGUCGCACUUUACUGUGUGGCGCUAGGACGCAGAUCGUUUACUGUGAAAAAAUUAGAGUGUUCAAAGCAGGCCGUACGCUUGAAUACAUUAGCAUGGAAUAAUGGAAUAGGACGUCGGGCCUAUUUUGUUGGUUCUAGGACCGUCGUAAUGAUUAAUAGGGACAGUUGGGGCCGUUUAUAUUCCGUAGUCAGAGGUGAAAUUCUUGGAUUUACGGAAGAUAGACUACUGCGAAAGCAUUCGGCAAGGAUGUUUUCGUUAA